Molecule: ribosomal RNA, 402 nt
Filed under: uncultured bacterium
Lineage: Bacteria
Description: partial 16S ribosomal RNA
Rfam family: Bacterial small subunit ribosomal RNA
Source: RNAcentral
UGGGGAAUCUUGCGCAAUGGGCGAAAGCCUGACGCAGCCAUGCCGCGUGAAUGAUGAAGGUCUUAGGAUUGUAAAAUUCUUUCACCGGGGACGAUAAUGACGGUACCCGGAGAAGAAGCCCCGGCUAACUUCGUGCCAGCAGCCGCGGUAAUACGAAGGGGGCUAGCGUUGCUCGGAAUUACUGGGCGUAAAGGGAGCGUAGGCGGACUGUUAAGUUAGAGGUGAAAGCCCAGGGCUCAACCUUGGAAUUGCCUUUGAUACUGGCAGUCUUGAGUACGGAAGAGGUAUGUGGAAUUCCGAGUGUAGAGGUGAAAUUCGUAGAUAUUCGGAAGAACACCAGUGGCGAAGGCGACAUACUGGUCCGUUACUGACGCUGAGGCUCGAAAGCGUGGGGAGCAAACA